This 253-nucleotide ribosomal RNA is filed under the name uncultured bacterium. Its description in RNAcentral is "partial 16S ribosomal RNA". It matches the Rfam family "Bacterial small subunit ribosomal RNA", at positions 524 to 776 of the family's 1533-position model. The record is from RNAcentral.
UACGUAGGGACCGAGCGUUGUCCGGAAUUAUUGGGCGUAAAGAGCUCGUAGGCGGUUUGUCGCGUCUGCUGUGAAAACUCGGGGCUUAACUCCGGGCCUGCAGUGGGUACGGGCAGACUAGAGUGCGGUAGGGGAGACUGGAAUUCCUGGUGUAGCGGUGAAAUGCGCAGAUAUCAGGAGGAACACCGGUGGCGAAGGCGGGUCUCUGGGCCGUAACUGACGCUGAGGCACGAAAGCGUGGGGAGCAAACAGG